UGAGGAAUAUUGGUCAAUGGACGGAAGUCUGAACCAGCCAUGCCGCGUGCAGGAAGACGGCUCUAUGAGUUGUAAACUGCUUUUGUAUGAGGGUAAAAACAGCUACGUGUAGUUGCUUGAAAGUAUCAUACGAAUAAGGAUCGGCUAACUCCGUGCCAGCAGCCGCGGUAAUACGGAGGAUUCGAGCGUUAUCCGGAUUUAUUGGGUUUAAAGGGUGCGUAGGCGGUAAUUUAAGUUAGUCGUUAAAUCGGAAGGCUCAACCUUCUCAUGGCGAUUAAUACUGGGUUACUAGAGAUUAGAUGCAGAGGGCGGAAUGUGUAGUGUAGCGGUGAAAUGCUUAGAUAUUACACAGAACACCGAUUGCGAAGGCAGCUCUCUAAUCUACAUCUGACGCUCAGGCACGAAAGCGUGGGGAUCAAACA
RNAcentral lists this ribosomal RNA (422 nucleotides) under uncultured Bacteroidota bacterium. Its description in RNAcentral is "uncultured Bacteroidetes bacterium partial 16S ribosomal RNA". It matches the Rfam family "Bacterial small subunit ribosomal RNA", at positions 355 to 774 of the family's 1533-position model. The record is from RNAcentral. Lineage: Bacteria; Pseudomonadati; Bacteroidota.